Long non-coding RNA from Cydia fagiglandana, 4190 nucleotides. RefSeq lists it as uncharacterized. The transcript is spliced from 2 exons. The record is from RefSeq and is a predicted model, not a curated record. Lineage: Eukaryota; Metazoa; Arthropoda; Insecta; Lepidoptera; Tortricidae.
AUUUGCUAUCGGGGCGAAUUGCAAACGGGACGAGCUGCGUUUGCGGGACAAUUUGCGAACGGGACGAAUUGCCAAUGGGACGAACUGCGAACGGGACGAAUUGCCAACGGGACGAACUGCGAACGGGACGAAUUGCGAACGGGUCAAAUUGCCAACGGGACAAAUUGCGAAGGGGACCAUAUGCGACAAAAUCCGCGAUGGGAUUUAUGGAUUGGCUACUAUUCGAUGGGACGAUACACCAUAUGCCUUUGUAGAUAAAUCGCAAAAAAUUAUCUUGGAUUAUACUGUGUUAUUAUAUAUCGUCAGGUGACAAGCAAAAGUCACUAAUUACUAAAAAAAAAAUAAACAAAAAUUGACCUUCUUUUUGUACUAAUAUGGUUCACUAUGGCUAUGAACUUGUGGUGGUACUUAGUGACUUUUGCUUGUCACCCGACGAAAUUAUGUGUAUAUAAUUGUGAUUAUUGAAUGAACUCACCAAAAUGUUCGCUCAAAAUAAUUAAAUAGCUAUUUCUAACCGUCAUGACAUAACGUAUACUUUUCUAAUGAAUUAUGAAGGUUAAAAUGAUGAUGAAUUUAUCAAAGAUGUAUUUAAUUUAAUGUUUAGAUAUGACGUCAUUUUUAAUUCGAAAAAAGCUGUCAAUUUUAUGGGUAAAAAGCAUGUUGUAGUCAACAAGGAUUACCAUAAAAUGUAUGUGUGUAUGUAUGUAUGGAAAAGGAAAAAGAAAAUAGAGACAAAAGUAUAAGAAAUUAUAGUUUGUACAUAAUAAAAAUGGUUCACUUUAUAUGGGGAUUCUAUGCAAUGUAAGCGUGUUUUUCUCUUGAUUUUCAUUUGUUAAAAAAAACAUGUAGUAUAAAUGUAUCACUGCCUAAAUAUGAUAUUCCAUUUUUUUUAUAGCUAGGUAUAUUUCUUGUUAUUAUUAAGCAUUGUCGACUCGAAGCGCCAAAUAUCAAUGUAAUAGAUUUAUUUAGAUGUCAACUGAAACUUAAAAACUGGACGAAAUAUAAAAAAAAAAACUUAAUUAAGGGCUAUAAUUCAUUAAGUAGGUACAUUCGGAAUACAAUGGAAAAUAAUGAAAUAGCCGAAAAAUUAAGUUCAAUGAAGAUCUUAACCCUUUACCAGGCUAAGGGCCACUUGCACCAUUCCACUAACCCGGGGUUAACCGGUUAAAUCUGGAGUUACCAUGGUUACCAGUACAAUUUGGCACUGGAUUAACGGUUUAACCGGCUAACCUCGGAUUAGUGGGACGGUGCAAGUGGCGCUAAGGGAUAUAUAUUUCCCAUAUACGGCACUUCAAACAUGUGUUCUAUUUUCGAUGAGUAAGGUUGACAUUCAAUUGUCAUAUUUGAACUGUCGGCCUGGUAAAGUGUAAAUUAUGUUUUUUUUCUAAUUUACCCAGUUUUUACAUUUUCGUCUCAAUAUUUAAUUAAUGUAACUGCUUUACCUAGUUUAAGUUAUUUUAAGUCAAUCAUAUUAUAUUCUAUUGUCUUCCUGUCGUACAUAUUGACCCUUUGAAAAUGUAAUCACUAACUAGUAGUAAGACUCAGUUUCUCAUACGCAAUAUGCAAUACAGCGCUUAAAUAACAGUGCAGAUGUAGUGCAUAAUUUUUUUCCAUCGUAUUUUCUCGGAAACGUUCGUAUUUGUGAUGCUACUUCAGUCAACCUCAGUACUUUUUGUACCGAGACUGACUGAAAUAGCAAGACACGUUCGUACGCUUCCGUGGAAAUACGAAGAAAAAUAAUUAUGCACUACAUCUGUACCCGCAAUUUUAUUUCAUUUCUGUUUUUUUCUUGUUGUAUUAACCUUUUCGGCGCCGUGUCAAACAAAAGCUGUCACCCGGACGCCACGUCACCGAAGUGUAAACUGAAAUUGAACUUUAUGCAUAUGCACGUAGGUCUAUGUUGCUCUGGUCUGUGACCGAUUAAUCAGUCUUUGGCGUUGAACCUGCGGUGCGGAUAUAUCGGUCAUUGGCGUCCAAAAGGUUAAAGCAAUUACAUCACAAUAAUUGAUCUCGCUCGUCUAAUUGAUUGUAACUAUUAAACUUAAAAAAAAUGUUCGGUUACUUUAUCUUAAUAGUGUCAAUUAUUUUUUACACUAGUCAAAAUUUACUCUUGUCUUUUAACUUCUUUUGAGGAAAAAAUCUUGUAUUUAAUUGUUCUUGCCUUUUUCGUGCUCACUAAACGUUACUCUGUUGACUUGUUUAAGAUUUGCCUUUUUAACAAAAAAAACGGUCAAGUGCGAGUCGAACUUGCGUUCCAAGUGUUCCGUACAUUAUCCAAUUUUUAACAAUGUAUUUUUUUAUGUGGAACGUGAGUGAAAUGCCUUUAAAAACCCGUAGGGGUCGGAUCAAAAAUUAAGAAAUAAUGUUCGACUCACGCUUCACUGCUAAUUUUUAUAGGUUUUCCUAUCAUCUAUAGGUAAAGAACUAUAUUGAGUAUUUUUUUCAAAAUUUUAGAUCCAGUAGUUUCGGAGAUACUAAAUUGUUGAAGUGGUAAUGACUGAGAAUUAUGUAAAUUUAGAAUUAUCAAUGUUCUGAAUUGGAAAAGUGGAGGGACAAAAUAUGGCUAAUUUGUCUACUUGAAUUAUAGUUAGGCAAGCCAUUAUCGUCAGUAGAAAAAGGCGGCAAAUGUAGACGCGAAGGGUUGUGUUCCCAUAGUGAAUUUCGCAUUCACUCACAAAAUGGGUUUGCCAGAGUAUAUUUAACAUUAACUUAUAUCUCAGGACUGGCCUUACAUGCAAUAUGAAUGGGGCAUGAAUGACACCGCUACAACGCGAUUGGUUGAUGAGUUCGCAUCACGCACGUGAUUGGUCGCAUCUAGUUGCGUCAGACUGCAGGAUUGGCUCGAAUUCGUGAGUGACACCGCCGAACUAGUACCAUUUUUAGUGCCCGUAAAGCCCGUCCUGAGAUAUACGUCAAUGAUUUUAUAAGAUGACGAAUAAAGGUCUUAUUUUCACUAUGUUAGGCGUUAAAAAGGUAAAUGUGAAUUAGCAAGAAUCAUACUAUCGCUCAAAACUUCGCUGCUCAUGUCGUUUCGAACCAAAUUGUUUCGACUUUUAAUCAUUAACCAAAUUUAGAGUGCGUUCUAUUAAAAAUUGCUUAAGUAGUAAGAUUUCCUCUCUAUCGUACCAGCCGGCCUAGCCAAGGUGUCAAUCGCUAUCGCUACGACAACGCUUUUACCCUUUGGGUACGGAACCCUAAAAAACAAAUGUUCCUGGUGUUUUCCGAAAAUCUUACUACUUAUACAAUCAUUGUGGUAUCUAAAACGCACUUAAGUGAUAUCUCAACUAAGCUAAUUAUUUUAAAUGUAUUGUAAAUAUAUUAUUAAUAUUGUAUAGCCGCCAUUAUACACGUAAGACUUUUAAAUAAUAAGAUUUAUUGAUUAAAAUAGGCCAGUUGUAAUAUUAUGAAUAUAACUUUUUCUUUAUCAUAUUAUUAUUUUGUUUCUAUUCGUUUAUUAUUAACCUUUUCGGCGCCGUGUCAAACACAAAAGCUGUCACUCGGACGCCACGUCACCAAAAUGUCAAAACUCUAAUUGAACUUUAUGCAUAUGCACGUACUGUGUUGCUCUGUGUUCUGUGACGGAUUAAUCGGUCUUUGGCGUCCAAAAGGUUAAUGUAAUAAAUAUAUAUGGUAGCGACUUGAUAUAGGUGAUAUAGGUACUAUAAGUGUUUUUGUAAAGUAACAACUGCCAAAUCUGACAUAUGUUUUUGGCCUGGCUAACUCUUAACCCUCUUCCAGGCAUAGUGCACCUAGCGACCACAUACUCGCCAAUAGAAUUUCAACCUUAGGAAUCCGAUUCAAGGUUCAUAUUCGAUUGGUAUUUUGAUAAAAGCUUCUUAUCAUUAAAUAAUGAAUCAUCAAAGCUGCAUACAUUUUUAUGUAUUUGCAUUCUUUGGAAAAACCUUGUAGAUUGGUGCGGCCUGGAAAAGGGUUAAACCUAGAAGUCAGAAGUUAUUUUGUAACGUUCUUUAUUUUUACUUAAAAUGAACUCAAUGGUCCAAGACCAAAGGAUAUCUGCAAAAUGUAUAAAAUUGUCUUGAUAUAGAAUAAUGUGGUUCUAUCGUAUAAACAUAGUCGGCACAACUUUCUCAUAUAAAAUACUAUGUAUUUUGAAAAGUUAUUCUUGUACAUUAUAUACAGUGCAUCUUGAUAUUAUAAAUAAAUAGAGAAUAAAAUGUCUGUAAUCCAAA